Molecule: long non-coding RNA, 690 nt
Organism: Manis pentadactyla (Chinese pangolin)
Lineage: Eukaryota; Metazoa; Chordata; Mammalia; Pholidota; Manidae
Exons: 6
Source: RefSeq, a predicted model, not a curated record
UCUGACUCGAGAGAGGCUAUAUAGGGAACUGGCAGCAGCGACGCUCGGUCUUUCACGUCCGGUUUUGGGAGGCGCAGUUGUUGGUACAGGAACAUGGCUCUGAAUGGUGUAAUGGAACUGACACUUGGAGAUACUAGGAUGGAAAGGAAAACUACAAAACAUAUGGGAGAAUAUUUGCUGGAAAAUUACUUGGUUAAAACGUGACAAUCUUAUCGGCAUCUGGGGGUUUUUGAAUACUUCUGAAGCUGUCUAUAUCACUUGACUUACAACCUCAUUUUGAAUGAGGGGUCGCUGUCUGCCCAUUGAAAGGGCCAGUUUGCUGUGAGGUUCCUAAGAUGUAAACCAUUUCUGGCUGUUGCCAUGAGAUACACUUGUAAUGAAAAACUGGUGAUCAGGAAAAGCUCUUCAUUUUACCGACAUGGAAAGAAAACAUACAAAUCAAAACAAAUUAUAUUGGUUUUAAUUUUUGUGAAUAGAUAAUGAGUCAAAAUCAAAUCGAUUAAUUUGUCCAUAAGAUUCAAGCUAUUUCUAUCUAAUGUCACAGUGCUCUAGAGUCACAACUUGUUAACCAGUGGGUUACUUCCCAGGUCUAUUUCUACUUUACAGAAAUAUAUUUAUGAAACAAUGUUUUUAAUGGGAAAAUCUUUACUUUCAGUUAAUCAUACGUGUAAUUAAAUUAUCCUGAAUGAA